Molecule: long non-coding RNA, 2515 nt
Organism: Monodelphis domestica (gray short-tailed opossum)
Lineage: Eukaryota; Metazoa; Chordata; Mammalia; Didelphimorphia; Didelphidae
Source: RefSeq, a predicted model, not a curated record
CUCUUCUUCAGCAGACUUUUUUAAAAUGAAAGUCCCUUUAAGUUUUUGAUCCUGGAGGAGAUGGGGAUACUUGACCCAGUUGCUAAUGAGGUGCUCUAUAAUCUCCUGUAUCCUAUAGCUCAAAAUAGCAGGAUGCAAUAUAAAAAGUACAUCAUAAAGGGGACUAUUGGAAUGCUUUUUUUGUCUUCACAGGCUAUACGUAAAAGAUGUUACCCUCUAAGAAAGUCAGAGGUUGGUCUCCUGCAGGCAAGUGAAGGUAUCAAAGUCAGAGUAUUUGAGGUGAGGCAUCUUGACAGUGUGGUCAGGAAACUGGAAGCCAGGAUCCAGGACACAGUGAAGAAAGGAACCAGAGAAGAGAUAUCACCAUAGUCAGAGCUAAGAUUCAGCAGCUAAAACAGGAACUGCUGGAUGGGCAUCCGCAGUGCUUUGAGGCGAAGCAGCCCAAGAACUUGCCAGUCAAGAUGAAAAACUUCAUCUAAUGGAAUCCAGCUUGAAAGCAACUCAAGAGCAGCUAACUGAGCAAAGAGCAGAAAUAGUUCGUCAAGAACAGAACAGUACAAAAUCACAGGCAGAGCUGAAGACAGUGAGAGAACGUAUUAUUGCUUCUGAAGAAGAAUUUAAUGAUUUCAAUGGCUUGAACUUUGAGGGCCUGCCCCUCAUUUGAAGAGUGAUGCUGCAGCAAGGGUUGGUUGGAAUGGCUGACAACAGUGUCCAAAGUGCUAUAUGCUAUCUCAGGAUGUUGUGGGUUCCCAUUAUGGAGGUCUUCAAGGAAAGGUCAUAUCACCACUUCUAGGUUCAGACGAAUGAAGAAAAUUUAGCUGAUAUGCCAGAGAAAUGUUAACAGUCUCCAAAAUGUAAUUGCCAAAAUAUUGAAGACCUUGUCAAUAAAGAGAAACAGCUGGUGAUUUCAAGAACUGAAUUAGGGAUUCUGUCACAAGGAUGGUGCACAGCAUGAAAGAGGUGUGAUCCCUCUAGAACUAUUAAAACUACUGUCAAAUACUCAGAGCUUAGCAAAGGCUUCUAGUAAACUGCAUUGUUAACUGUUUCCAGUGAUAGUUUUUUUUAAAUACCUAUUCUUUUUACCCUCAAAUUUAAAUUCAUAGAAUUACCUAGCCUGGAACGAAAGGUAGAAGACUGCAGCUUAAAAAAAUGUUUUUUUUUUCUUCCCAAUAUCGGGAACCUGAAAUAGAAAUCAUGGGAAAGAAUUCACAAAAAGAGAAGCUGUGUGCAUUAUUUGAUAGUUAUUGAUAUUUUUAAAGUAGCUUUCUGAAAUUCUGCAGGAUGUAUGUACAAAUGCAUAUUAAGAUGUCAAAUUGUUAUUUAGAUAUUCUUAAAUACUUUAUUAUAUAUGGGAUUUUUGAUGCAGAAUAACUUGUCUUGUUUGAUGUUAGAUUUGUACUAGUUUAAAAAAGAAUUUAACUUGAAGUAAAUCACAUCUUGAAAAUGGCAAAUAAUAAUAGACAAUGCAAGGAGUACAAGAAUCAUUUUGGAGAUGAGUAAAUGAUUUAUUUCAAUGAUAAGCAAAGGUUCAAAGGUUCAAAGGUUCAAAGUCUCAAAUGAAAGUCAGUUGCCCAUAGUAGACAUGCUACAAAUAUGUGAUGAAUUAAUGCAUUCAUACAAGAAUCUAUAAAACAUUAAGAAGGAUUCAAAGGAUUUUUAAUAAAAAAAUUCACAUGAAAAUAUUUUGAGAAGAUAAAGUACAUAUUUGCCUUCUUUUUAAAAAUAGAUAUAGAACAUAAUCAAUUCUCACUCGAAUUAAUGCAAAGACUUCCUAAUAAGUCUCCCUGCCUUAAAUUUCUCACAGCUCUAAGCCAUCCUACACAACCCAAACAAAAUUAUUUUUCCUUACACAUAGAUCCAAACUUGUGAUUUCCCUGUUCUAUAAACUCCACCAGAGCCCUAUUGAACCUAGGAUAACAUAUAAUGUCCUAUUUUUAAUUUUUAAAGGUCUUUAUAAUCUGACUCCAACUUAUCUUUUGGACUUUAUUGGUCUUUAACCGUCCUUCCAUGUUCUGCAAAACUGACUUUCUCUCUGGCAAUCUCAGGCAACAUUUGUUUUCAUAUCUAUAUUCUUUUAGUUGGAUUUCCCUUCCAACAUUCCCUUCUUAGCCCUGCCACAAAGAAUACUUCUCUUCUUUCAAAAGUAAGCUAACAUACUUCUUCCUACACAAAGUCUUCCCUUCUAAAGGAAUCCCCUCAACUGUAAGUGAAUUGCUUCCUAAACUCUCUUGUAUUUAAUAACAUAAUUAAAUUAUUUCAUGUUUGUAAAAAUACUUGAUAAACAGUAAGUACUAAAUGUAUAUAUUUAUUUCCCUUCCCCAUCCUAAUUUCAUUUAUAUUUUCUAUGUAUUUUGUGUAUACACACAUAUAUGUUCAUGUAUAUGCAUCAAUGUCCAUACUCAUUAGAAUUGUGUCCCUUUUCCAGUAGGGAUUACUUAUUUCUUUUUAUAUGUAGCUUAGUGCUUAUCAUAAUGGAUGACACAUUUUAGGCAUUUAAUAAAUUUUUACUGAUUGA